GACGAACGCUGGCGGCGUGCUUAACACAUGCAAGUCGAACGGAAAGGCCCUGCUUGUGUGGGGUGCUCGAGGGGCGAAUGGGUGAGUAACACGUGAGUAACCUGCCCUUGACUGUGGGAUAACUUCAGGAAACUGGGGCUAAUACCGGAUAGGAGCUCCUGCUGCAUGGUGGGGGUUGGAAAGUUUCGGCGGUUGGGGAUGGACGCGCGGCUUAUCAGCUUGUUGGUGGGGUAGUGGCUUACCAAGGCUUUGACGGGUAGCCGGCCUGAGAGGGUGACCGGCCACAUUGGGACUGAGAUACGGCCCAGACUCCUACGGGAGGCAGCAGUGGGGAAUAUUGCACAAUGGGCGGAAGCCUGAUGCAGCAACGCCGCGUGCGGGAUGACGGCCUUCGGGUUGUAAACCGCUUUCGCCUGUGACGAAGCGUGAGUGACGGUAAUGGGUAAAGAAGCACCGGCUAACUACGUG
RNAcentral lists this ribosomal RNA (468 nucleotides) under uncultured bacterium. RNAcentral describes it as "partial 16S ribosomal RNA". It matches the Rfam family "Bacterial small subunit ribosomal RNA", at positions 28 to 507 of the family's 1533-position model. The record is from RNAcentral.